This 195-nucleotide unclassified non-coding RNA is filed under the name plant metagenome. Its description in RNAcentral is "partial contains small subunit ribosomal RNA, internal transcribed spacer 1, and 5.8S ribosomal RNA". The record is from RNAcentral.
UCUCCGUUGGUGAACCAGCGGAGGGAUCAUUACCGAGUUUACAACUCCCAAACCCCUGUGAACAUACCAUUUGUUGCCUCGGCGGUGCCUGCUUCGGCAGCCCGCCAGAGGACCCAAACCCUUGAUUUUAUGCAGUAUCUUCUGAGUAAAUGAUUAAAUAAAUCAAAACUUUCAACAACGGAUCUCUUGGUUCUG